Long non-coding RNA from Osmerus eperlanus (European smelt), 374 nucleotides. RefSeq lists it as uncharacterized. Lineage: Eukaryota; Metazoa; Chordata; Actinopteri; Osmeriformes; Osmeridae. The transcript is spliced from 3 exons. The record is from RefSeq and is a predicted model, not a curated record.
UUCCCUUCAGGCGUUCCUGGGAUUGCGUUCCUGAGUGGGAUGGACAUGAGGUCACAGUGACCUUUACCUUUGACUACCAAAUUCCAAAGUCCAAGUGGCCGUUUGACCCAAAUAAGAAAUUCCUUCAAGACAAGUGCAAGUGUUGUACCUUGUAGGAAGUAAACCCCCCUGGGCCUGAGGAACCUGGGAUAAGGAGGGUCUGCCGGGUAGUGGCACUUAAAUGCCUCACCUAUGAUGAAAAGUCUUCCAUGAACAGUAAGAUACUGGGACACCAGGAGGUCUCCUCUGAUGAAAAGUGAUGUGGAGCAUACAUCCGCUGCUGAGGAUCUGAAACAGUCAGUACGACCCAAGCUAUCUCAGCGGGGUCUCAUGAG